RNAcentral lists this long non-coding RNA (6114 nucleotides) under Triticum aestivum (bread wheat). RNAcentral's name for it is "long non-coding RNA (TAES_LNC000700)". The record is from RNAcentral. Lineage: Eukaryota; Viridiplantae; Streptophyta; Magnoliopsida; Poales; Poaceae.
UGAAAUUUAUGAAUUUUGAAUUUUUCAAAGUAAAGGGCUCCAUGGAGCUCGGUCUCCAAAAUGCCCUACUCCCACACAAGCGAAAAUGCUACUUAGCCAGGCAGUAAUUUCAAUGUUAGGCUUGAGAAAUCUAACGUUCUUUUGAGGAAGCAAACCAAACAGGCCCUACGAUCUGCCAGCCGACCACCUCUAGACCAUCCAGCAUGCUGCUUAGCCGGCCUCUGUCCCACCGCCUACACAACGGAUGUCACUGCUGUAAAAAUGCCAAAAAUUUGAACACAAAGUCAGAAGCACGAUGCAAGAACUGCUCAAUGAUGAUCUUAUUAUCAUAGUCCAAAUGGUUCACAUCAUAGCCGUAAGCACCAAUAAGAAAAAUGAGCUUGCUUCUUUCAGUGGUUAAAGUUUUGUGUUUUUUCUUUUCUUUUGAUGACUCAAGAUUUGCUCAUUUUACUUAUUGAUAUGCAUAAAUGAUGUAUGCAGAGAUGAGUGAAUAAUCUUAGGCCACUUAGCUGACGUAGACCCCGGCUGCUUAAGAGUCUAAACUAGUGUCACCAUCAGUAGUGGAUAUGGAUGCCACCACAGUUCCCGCCCGCGGGAAAUGCAACUAGCCAAUGUCAAUGACUGCACAGCGUGUGAACGCCCUUGACGAUACCGUUCGUCAAGUCAAGUCGAUAUAGUUAAAUCAGUGCGUUGCGUGAGAGAGAAGGUGCACAAGCGUAAGCGUGUGUGACGACACCGAUAAUUUAAAUUUGUGCGUGGCGCGCGAGAACAACAUAUCCAAUGAGGCGAGUCGUCGCCAUCACCCGGCUCAGCUAGCCUCGUUCUCCCCCGGCGAGAGGGAGACCAGUUCGACCAGAAAACACCAGCCGGCGGGCGGAAGGAGAGGGAGGAGCCAUGGCCGAGCUCGCGGCGGGCGCCGUGAGCUCGCUGCUGGUCGUCAUCCGCAGCGAGGCCCUGCUGCUGCGCGGCGUCCGGGACGACGUGCAGUUCAUCAAGGAGGAGAUGGAGAGCAUGAAGAGCUUCCUGGCGCACCUGGCCAGGUGGGCGCCCCCCGGCGGCGAGCACGACGAGCAGGUGCGCACCUGGAUGAACCAGGUGCGGCUGCUCGCCCAGGACUGCAACAACUGCAUCGACCUCUACCUCUACAGGGGGAAUCCUGACAUCCACCGCGCCAGAGGUGGGCUCCGAGGCUACCUCUGGUGGGCGACCUGGUUCUUGCACAAGCUGGCUGCACAGCACCGCGCGGCUGAGCAGCUGCGUCUUCUCAAGGAGCGGGCACGCGAUGUCGGCGAGCGGCGGUUGAGGUACGGCGUGGAGGUCCCGGACAAGUCCGGGAAGGGGCAAUUGGCUCUGACGGCAUCCUCGUCAUUGUGGGCUGCUGCGGCAGGUGGCUAUGCGGCCGGGGAUGACGAAGAAGAAGACGGUGAUGGUCAACUCAUGGGGGCAAUGGCGACCGACGGCCAUUCUGGUCCAAGAGCCUUCACUAAGCCUCGCACUCUGGACGACUACGUCAAGGCAAAGCUAUGGGAGUGGUUGCAAGGAGUUCCUGGUAACGCCGGCGAAACUUUGUCCAUGGUCGUGGUGGCACCCUACACAUAUGAGGACCUCCUCGCUCUUGUACAAGAAACUUGGCUUUUGAGUCAAAACCGGAGGGGCUACCAUCGCAUUGUCGUGGUUGACAUCCCAGCUGUGCACCCUGAUUUUAUGCUGCUACGGCCCAAGGAGGUUCUCUUCUACAUUCUGCGGGAGCUUAAGCUUGCCAAGUCCAAUCCCCAGGAGCAAGGCACAGAAGGCCAAGAGGAUCUGGACUCUUGGGAAGUUUACCUAAGAAGAUGGCAAAUUUACCGUGAAAAGAAGAGGGCUAUUGCUCUUCUUGACAUCGAGGAGAAUAUCGAAGAGAUGAAGAUUUAUGAAAAGCUUGACAAAAUCAAAAGUGAUAUUCAAGGUCGACUAGAGAAGGGCGACGGGCUUCCCAAGGGCGACAAGCUUCAGGGUGAUUUUGACAAGUUGGACCUAGACGUACUACUUCAGCUGCUGCUCCAGACAGCGUCUCAACAAGAUCAAAAGGGGAAGAACAAAGACAUGCAUAGAUUACCACCGUGGGACAAGGACAACAUCAUCGUCAAGAAGCUCAAGGAGCAUAUGGAAGUAGAGGAAAAGGACAAGAAGAUUGAAGAGAGAGAAGCUGCCAAGAAUAUGGGGGUGGAAGGAGAAGCCGCAGUUAAGCAUAUGGAAGAAGAGGGAGGAGGAGAAGUAACAUCCAAACAUAUGGAGGAGGGGGGAGGAGAAGUAGCCAUACAUAGGGAGGAGGAUAUGGAGGAGAGGGAAGGAGAAAUAACCAUACAUAGGGACGAAGAGGAAGAAGGGGGCGGGAGAGGAGAAACAACCGGGCAUAUGGAGGUGGGAGAAGGAGAAGUGGCCAUACACAGGGAGGAGGAUAUCGAGGGGGGAGGAGAAGUAGCCGCACAUAGGGAGGAGGAUAUGGAAGGAGAAGUAACCAUACACAGGGAGGAGGAGGAGGAGGAGAAAGAAGAAGAAGAAAAAGAAGAAGAAGAAGAAGAUGAUGAUGAUGAUGAUGAGGAUGAUGAUGAUAAUGAUGAUGAAGAAGAAGAGGAGGAGGAGGAGAUGAGGAGGAUGAGGAGGAGGAGGAGGAGGAGGAGGAGUACGCCACGGAUUCAGCUCGAUGAGGCACAAUAUGCACACAUCCUGAGGAAGCUGUUUCCCAAGAGCAGCAGCAGCAGCAGCAAGCCCGUGCAGGCCCAAGACAGAUCCUUGGACAAGCAAGCUACAAAGACCACAACGCCUACACUGGGUGAGGAUCAAAUCAAAAAACUCAUCCAUGACGCAAAGGAAGACAUCUUACGGGAGUUGCAGCAAGGCAAAUAUGACAAGAGUGAAGGGACAGGUGAACCUGGUGCUCCGGAUCAAAACCCAGAAACUGUUUCUGAAAAAAUACGUGCCGGUUUCGUGGACCAGAUGAUGGAAAAAAUGAAGCACGAGUUCAAAGAGCAGCUCAAGAUCAAAGGGCUCGUGAACGAGAUUAAAAAUAACUUGAAUCCUCAUCCGUUCCGGGAUAACAGGUGUGAGUGCCCCCUGUUUAUCCUAAAAGUUGAUGAGCUGAUGGAUGUUUCCACAUGUGAGGAUAUCAGAAAUGCUUUGAGCCUGUUAAACUGCAGUGCCGAUUUGAUGAUUGUCACCGCCGCAAAGGACAUCCAGCUGGCUAAAGAAUAUUGUUACCCACCUCGGGAACCAAUAGACUAUUCUCUUGCUGGCCUCUACCAUGAUACAGUGCUCAAGCUAACUAGUCAGCAGAAGAAUGAAGACAGCUACAACCCCCAAAUUUUUCAUGAUAUCUUGUAUGAGUGUGAGCCACAUGAAUUCUGCAUGAAGGUCUUCACUCAUGCUUUGUAUGCUAACCCCAAGAGGAGCGGCGAGGAGUUACAAAAGCUGCAUAGCACCUUGCAGGCUUUACCAACAACAUCAUUCAACAACAUUGCUAAGGUGAUGGUCAAGUUCUCUUACAAUGACCUGCCUAAAGAAUACAAGUCCUGCUUUCUGUACCUAGCUAUCUUCUCUCCGGGACAAAAGAUCAGUCGGUCAACCUUGGUUGCACGGUGGGUUGCAGAAGGGCUGACAUCCAAGGAAGAUUGGCCCAGUUCUAUGCGUCAGGCCAACCGAUGUUUUGACGCACUUGUUGGCCGGUGCCUUGUUCAUCCUGCAGAUAUUGGUACCACAGGAAAUGUAAAGAGUUGCAUCGUUGGUGAUCCGGUUCAUGGAUUCAUUACUGCCAUCGCCAGAAAACAACACAUUGUGGAGACACGCCUGUCACAUCACUUGGCUCGCCACUUCUCCAUUUUCAACGAUCUCCAACUCCGCAGCUCCGAUAGAAUUGAUAAAUUCUUCCAGGGCCUCUCUAAAUCAUCUCAAGUGUCACUGCUCAAGGUGCUAGAUCUAGAAGGUUGUCAGUGCUUUGGCGGGAAGAACCAGCGGUACCUCAAGGAUAUCUGCAACAAGAUGUUAUUGCUCAAGUAUCUGAGCCUGAGGAGAACAGAUAUUACCCAGCUACCCAGUGAAAUCAACAACCUCCGUGAGCUAGAGGUACUGGAUAUCCGACAAACUGCAAUACCUCAACAUGCAACAGCGAAUAUCCUGCUCUUGAAGCUGAAGCGUCUGCUUUCUGGUCACAUUGAUCCAAACAAUUUUGGAUCUAGUAGUCGGAUUCCUCAUAGGAUCGACAAAAUGGUAAGCAUGGAGGUACUAUCCAAUGUCAAGGCCCAGCAGAGUUAUGAUUUAAAAGAUAUUGGAAAGCUAUGGCAGCUGAGGAAGCUAGGUGUGGUUAUCGAUGAUAAGGAUAGUCACCUCAAGAAUUUGCUUCAGACGAUCAGUGACCUACAUGAGUGCCUCCGUUCUCUGUCAAUCACUACUAUUCCCGUAGCCACACCAUGCGAGGCAGAGUUUCCAGAUGUCAAGAACCAUCCCAAGAUUCUCGAGUCUCUAAGCAUCAAGGGAACCACACAAAAUGGGCGUCUUCUUCCAUUUUUCAUAGAAGGUAAUAACAACAAACUUGCCAAGAUAACUCUAGGUCACACUCUGCUGAGCCAAGAUGAUCUGAAAGUCCUUGCCAAGCUGCCCAAGUUACGGUGUGUUAGGCUCCAACACAUUGUAUGCACCGAGCACAUGCUGAACUUCAAGGAAGGUGAAUUCAGAUGCCUCAAGUACCUUGUUGUUGAGGGCUCGGACUUGACUAAUAUCACUUUUGAGGAUGGUGCAGCCAGUGAGCUCGAGAAGAUGGUUUUGUCUAUCACCAGCAUAUGUUCUAUUUCUGGAGUUGAGUAUCUUUCUGAAUUGAAAGAGCUUGAGUUGAACAGCAGCUUUUGCGGCAGUUUGCUGUCAUCAUUUGACAAUGCCAAACAGAUAGCCAAGCUGACUCUUCGUAAUACAUUGCUAGAGCAAGCUGCUCUACAACUGCUCACCAAGAAACCAAAUAUACGCUGUCUGGUGCUCUUGGACAAGUCUUUUGGUGGAACACAAAACAAGAUCACAUUAGAAAAAGAUGAGUUCUUAUGGCUCAACCUCCUUGUUGUUGACUGCUCGGCCAUCACCAAGAUUGUCUUCAACAACGGGUCUGCUUCUAGGCUCGAGAAGAUUGUCUGGUCAUCUUCCACAUCUCUGUCCGGCAUCGACAAACUUCCCAGAUUGAAGGAGCUCGAGUUCAAGGGUGACCAAGUCCCUCCUGAGGUGAGAGAUGCCAUUGAAAACCAUAAAAACAAGCCUAGUCUUAAACUCAAUGGACCAAAAACUCAAGACUAAGCAAAAAGGAGAUGAAGAAGAGGAUGACAAGGAUGCUGCAACAUUCUCUUUCUGCUGGAAGAAACAGGUUUGACACCGGAAGGGCCUCUCCGUUGAUCGCACGGUGUGGUUUGCGUGUGCUAGUGUGGAUUGCAAUCUGUUCUUCUUGUCUGUUGAAUUUUUUUCUGAUGCGUGUUUAAGUUCUGCGUGCAUUACAACUUAAGUGUGUCCGUUUACUUGCUCUACAUGAGUGCCCUAGUGGCUCCGAUUGAGCGUAAACGGUUGUAUCUAUGCUUGGAUUUGAAUUUGUGUGACUUUCCUUUGUAUAAAACAUCGUAUGCAUUUGUGUACAGUAUCAUGUAAUAAAGUGUGAUGAUUGUGGACACAUUUGACUUCUUAUUAAUAUAUACAGUGUGAUAUCAGUAUGCAUGCUUUGAUUGGGUUCUGCAACUCAAAGAUGAACUGGAUACAGUUACCUCUAAUGUAGGCAUCCGUUUGCUUCAAACCAGCUGAGUAGCUCUUGCACUGAUGCCUGACUAUGUACUUGAAGCAGAACUUUAUGCAGAUUAAGAAUGUGUGACACAAUCUGUCUGCAACUCUGCAUCUUCUGAUUGUCAGGCAAGCACUAGCGCCCCGGGAAGAAUCGAAAUUGUUUUCAGCUGUAUGUUGGCGUGCAUUUGGUAGCUCGCGUAGUCUCUCCCAUUGUUUGCUGGUGGAGAUGCCAAUACAGCUCCAUAUUUACCAAUCCACUUGAAAUGUUCAGACACAUGCGGCAAUCACGGUUCUUCGCUUCCUCAUGUAACAAACCAAAUCGAAGCAUAAGAC